GUCCUCCCAUUGCUUACCACAGACAGUGUUGCCUCCCCCACUGGCUGUACAGAAAGAGGAGGAAUAGUAACGUCUCUGUCUACACCACAGCCUGGCCUUGUGCCUGGACUGUAUUGUUAUCGGGGCGACAACC
Molecule: small nucleolar RNA, 133 nt
Organism: Rana temporaria (common frog)
Lineage: Eukaryota; Metazoa; Chordata; Amphibia; Anura; Ranidae
Product: small nucleolar RNA SNORA51
Exons: 1
Source: RefSeq, a predicted model, not a curated record